This is a long non-coding RNA of Folsomia candida, 1109 nucleotides long. RefSeq lists it as uncharacterized. Lineage: Eukaryota; Metazoa; Arthropoda; Collembola; Entomobryomorpha; Isotomidae. The transcript has 2 exons. The record is from RefSeq and is a predicted model, not a curated record.
UUAUCACUCAAUUGAGUUUUUAGACGUACAAAUAACAAUUAAUGAUAUGAACAAAAUCACUGUACACGAAGCCAAUGGCUAAAAAUGUUUUUUUACACUACGAAUCAAACCACCCAAAAUCUCUCAUUGAAUCUCUUCCGUACUGUCAAGCAUUACGUAUAAAAAAGAUAUGUUCCGAUCCUGAAAAUGCUGUGAAACAAAUUGAUAUGUUAUUCGGAAAAUUUUCAAAACGGGGUUAUCCUUUGAAUGUACUACAUAAAUGUUUAUUGAAAAUUAAUCAGAUAAGCAGACAUGAUAUUCUUAAGCCAAAAACUCAACUUGUGAUAAAGCAUUUAAAACAUAAUAAUCCUACUGUGUUAUGUAAAUAUACCAAUGUCAACUUACAUGAAAAAGAGAUGCAUGAAAAAGUGUUUAUUGUCAUGCCGUUCUACAAGAAUAUGUAUGGUUUUAAGAAAUUAUUUAUAGAUUUUAUUGUAUGUGAAGCAAAGAAAGGUCAAAAUGUAAAAUAUAAACAAAUAUUAACAAACCUUAAUUUAAUUAUAUCUUACAAAAAAACUACCCAACUAAAAAGGUACACUGGCCAGCAACAUAAAACUGGAUAACAGUAUCAAUUUGUACUCAACUCGAGGCGUAACAUAUGAAAAAAAUAUUUGCCCAAAAAAAGUUUAAGAAACUUGUAAACAACUUAUAAACAUUUUUAAAAAACAAACUAUAACAAGUCACUCAGCAGCCUGAAGAAGCUGUACUUUAUGGCGAAACCGGUCGCAGCUGGUGAAUAAAUCAGAUUAUUUGUCAAUCAGUUGGAAGUGUUUUCUUCACACCUUCAAAGUUUAAAAACAUAUUAUACCAAAAUUUUAGACUUCUAGAACCCAUUUUUUACCAUUUGAAGGCCAAAAUGCCCCCAUCACCAUUAUUUCCCAUGGGCUCUCCAUUAAGAUAUCAUGAGAUAUUCAGUGUAACGAAUGUACACCGAAAUUGGAUCUAAACCCUGUUGCAAUAAGGUAUCGGCUAAAAAAUUAAUGGAAAACCUACCGUAUAAGAAAUUCUUCUCAUAUUAUGUACCCAUCAUCCAACCCGACUAUAAAUAAAACUUUGCAAUACAAAUGUAA